RNAcentral lists this ribosomal RNA (251 nucleotides) under uncultured prokaryote. RNAcentral's name for it is "partial 16S ribosomal RNA". It matches the Rfam family "Bacterial small subunit ribosomal RNA", at positions 524 to 774 of the family's 1533-position model. The record is from RNAcentral.
UACGGAGGAUGCAAGCGUUAUCCGGAUUUAUUGGGUUUAAAGGGUGCGUAGGCGGAUAUGUAAGUCAGCGGUGAAACUCACAGGCUCAACCUGCGCCGUGCCGUUGAAACUGUGUAUCUGGAAUGCGGAUGCUGUGGGAGGAAUGUGUAGUGUAGCGGUGAAAUGCAUAGAUAUUACACAGAACACCGAUUGCGAAGGCAUCUCACAAAGCCGUUAUUGACGCUGAGGCACGAAAGUGUGGGGAUCAAACA